UACGGAGGGUGCGAGCGUUAAUCGGAAUUACUGGGCGUAAAGCGCACGCAGGCGGUUUGUUAAGCUAGAUGUGAAAGCCCCGGGCUCAACCUGGGAUGGUCAUUUAGAACUGGCAGACUAGAGUCUUGGAGAGGGGAGUGGAAUUCCAGGUGUAGCGGUGAAAUGCGUAGAUAUCUGGAGGAACAUCAGUGGCGAAGGCGACUCCCUGGCCAAAGACUGACGCUCAUGUGCGAGAGUGUGGGUAGCGAACAGG
This 253-nucleotide ribosomal RNA is filed under the name uncultured bacterium. RNAcentral's name for it is "partial 16S ribosomal RNA". It matches the Rfam family "Bacterial small subunit ribosomal RNA", at positions 524 to 776 of the family's 1533-position model. The record is from RNAcentral.